RNAcentral lists this ribosomal RNA (253 nucleotides) under uncultured bacterium. RNAcentral describes it as "partial small subunit ribosomal RNA". It matches the Rfam family "Bacterial small subunit ribosomal RNA", at positions 26 to 287 of the family's 1533-position model. The record is from RNAcentral.
AGGACAAACGCUGGCGGCGUGCCUAAGACAUGCAAGUCGAACGGAAGGCUUCGGCCUUGAGUGGCGGACGGGUGAGGAGCGCGUGGAGAACCUGCCCCGGGGUGGGGGAUAACAGUCGGAAACGAUUGCUAAGACCGCAUACGACCAUUCGUUGCAGGAUGAAUGGGGAAAGCAGCGAUGUGCCCGUGGGAGGGCUCCGCGUCGGAUUAGCUAGGUUGGUGGGGUAACGCCUACCAAGGCUGCGAUCCGUAGC